AUAUAUAUAUAUAUAUAUAAUAUGUGUGUGUUGCUUCCUCUCUUUUUUCUUUUACUUGUUUCAGUUAUUUGACUGCGGCGAUACUGGAGCACAGCCUCAAAGGGCUUUUAUCCGAAGAAAUCGAUCCCAGGACUUAUUCUUUGUAAGCCUAGUA
Molecule: long non-coding RNA, 154 nt
Organism: Octopus sinensis (East Asian common octopus)
Lineage: Eukaryota; Metazoa; Mollusca; Cephalopoda; Octopoda; Octopodidae
Exons: 2
Source: RefSeq, a predicted model, not a curated record